This 65-nucleotide transfer RNA is filed under the name Lyprocorrhe anceps. Its description in RNAcentral is "tRNA-Leu". The record is from RNAcentral. Lineage: Eukaryota; Metazoa; Arthropoda; Insecta; Coleoptera; Staphylinidae.
AUUAUUUUGGCAGAUUAGUGCAUUAAAUUUAGAAUUUAAUUAUGUAAUUGAGUGUUACAAAUAGU